CAGCCGCCGCGGUAACACGUAGGGUGCAAGCGUUAAUCGGAAUUACUGGGCGUAAAGCGUGCGCAGGCGGUUCGCUAAGACAGAUGUGAAAUCCCCGGGCUUAACCUGGGAACUGCAUUUGUGACUGGCAAGCUAGAGUGUGGCAGAGGGGGGUGGAAUUCCGCGUGUAGCAGUGAAAUGCGUAGAUAUGCGGAGGAACACCGAUGGCGAAGGCAGCCCCCUGGGCCAACACUGACGCUCAUGCACGAAAGCGUGGGGAGCAAACAGGAUUAGAUACCCGGGUAGUCCCUGUCUCUUAUAC
RNAcentral lists this ribosomal RNA (301 nucleotides) under uncultured bacterium. RNAcentral describes it as "partial 16S ribosomal RNA". It matches the Rfam family "Bacterial small subunit ribosomal RNA", at positions 509 to 807 of the family's 1533-position model. The record is from RNAcentral.